This 669-nucleotide ribosomal RNA is filed under the name uncultured bacterium. RNAcentral describes it as "bacterial SSU rRNA". It matches the Rfam family "Bacterial small subunit ribosomal RNA", at positions 200 to 847 of the family's 1533-position model. The record is from RNAcentral.
AGAAAAGGUGGCCUCUACCUGUAAGCUAUCGCCUGAAGAGGGGUUUGCGUCUGAUUACCUGGUUGGAGGGGUAACGGCCCACCAAGGCGAUGAUCAGUAGCCGGUCUGAGAGGAUGAACGGCCACACUGGAACUGAGACACGGCCCAGACUCCUACGGGAGGCAGCAGUGGGGAAUCUUCCGCAAUGGGCGAAAGCCUGACGGAGCAACGCCGCGUGAGUGAUGACGGCCUUCGGGUUGUAAAACUCUGUGAUCCGGGACGAAAAGGCAGAGUGCGAAGAACAAACUGCAUUGACGGUACCGGAAAAGCAAGCCACGGCUAACUACGUGCCAGCAGCCGCGGUAAUACGUAGGUGGCAAGCGUUGUCCGGAAUUAUUGGGCGUAAAGCGCGCGCAGGCGGCUUCCCAAGUCCCUCUUAAAAGUGCGGGGCUUAACCCCGUGAUGGGAAGGAAACUGGGAAGCUGGAGUAUCGGAGAGGAAAGUGGAAUUCCUAGUGUAGCGGUGAAAUGCGUAGAGAUUAGGAAGAACACCGGUGGCGAAGGCGACUUUCUGGACGAAAACUGACGCUGAGGCGCGAAAGCGUGGGGAGCAAACAGGAUUAGAUACCCUGGUAGUCCACGCCGUAAACGAUGGAUAAUAGGUGUAGGAGGUAUCGACCCCUCCUGUGCC